GAAGCAAAGCCGCGAGGUAGAGCAAAUCUCAAAAAAACAAUCUCAGUUCAGACUGCAGGCUGCAACUCGCCUGCACGAAGUCGGAAUUGCUAGUAAUCGUAGGUCAGCAUACUACGGUGAAUACGUUCCCGGGCCUUGUACACACCGCCCGUCAAACCAUGAGAGUUGGCAACACCCGAAGUCGGUAGUCUAACCGCAAGGAGGACGCCGCCGAAGGUGGGGUUGAUGAUUAGGGUUAAGUCGUAACAAGGUAAC
This 255-nucleotide ribosomal RNA is filed under the name uncultured bacterium. RNAcentral describes it as "partial 16S ribosomal RNA". It matches the Rfam family "Bacterial small subunit ribosomal RNA", at positions 1246 to 1500 of the family's 1533-position model. The record is from RNAcentral.